AGUCGAACGGCAGCACGGAGCUUGCUCUGGUGGCGAGUGGCGAACGGGUGAGUAAUAUAUCGGAACGUACCCUGGAGUGGGGGAUAACGUAGCGAAAGUUACGCUAAUACCGCAUACGAUCUACGGAUGAAAGUGGGGGAUCGCAAGACCUCAUGCUCGUGGAGCGGCCGAUAUCUGAUUAGCUAGUUGGUAGGGUAAAAGCCUACCAAGGCAUCGAUCAGUAGCUGGUCUGAGAGGACGACCAGCCACACUGGAACUGAGACACGGUCCAGACUCCUACGGGAGGCAGCAGUGGGGAAUUUUGGACAAUGGGCGAAAGCCUGAUCCAGCAAUGCCGCGUGAGUGAAGAAGGCCUUCGGGUUGUAAAGCUCUUUUGUCAGGGAAGAAACGGUGAGGGCUAAUAUCCCUUGCUAAUGACGGUACCUGAAGAAUAAGCACCGGCUAACUACGUGCCAGCAGCCGCGGUAAUACGUAGGGUGCAAGCGUUAAUCGGAAUUACUGGGCGUAAAGCGUGCGCAGGCGGUUUUGUAAGUCUGAUGUGAAAUCCCCGGGCUCAACCUGGGAAUUGCAUUGGAGACUGCAAGGCUAGAAUCUGGCAGAGGGGGGUAGAAUUCCACGUGUAGCAGUGAAAUGCGUAGAUAUGUGGAGGAACACCGAUGGCGAAGGCAGCCCCCUGGGUCAAGAUUGACGCUCAUGCACGAAAGCGUGGGGAGCAAACAGGAUUAGAUACCCUGGUAGUCCACGCCCUAAACGAUGUCUACUAGUUGUCGGGUCUUAAUUGACUUGGUAACGCAGCUAAC
This 800-nucleotide ribosomal RNA is filed under the name uncultured Janthinobacterium sp. RNAcentral's name for it is "bacterial SSU rRNA". It matches the Rfam family "Bacterial small subunit ribosomal RNA", at positions 60 to 856 of the family's 1533-position model. The record is from RNAcentral. Lineage: Bacteria; Pseudomonadati; Pseudomonadota; Betaproteobacteria; Burkholderiales; Oxalobacteraceae.